UAAUGGUGGGUGAUCAUUGUGAUGGGAGUCAUCAUCCCUGGAGGUGUUCCAGAACCUGGAGAUCAGGCACCUGAGGACAGAGAAAUGCAGAACUAAAAGAAGUCUUGAAAUGUUUCAUCACCAGUUAGUGCAAAUAAAUAGUGAUCAGAAGGCAGACAGAUGCACAGCAGCAAAAUGAUAUGCAGGCGCCUGCGGUUCCAGCCAUUGGCCUCUCAACCUAUGAAUGUGGAACAGACGAAGCUCCCCAGCACACAUGAAGUUUGCAUUUAGAGUCAGAGAAGAGUGCAUGGGAGAUCCCUGGAAACUGAAGGUAGAGAUGAAAAGGUACAAGAUGCCUUCCACUAGCCUCCAUCAGAGAUAUAGCAGCCCAGCUCCAACAAAGUAAGCAGGCAGCACACUAAGUGAAUGCUACGUUCAUGAUGCUCUGAGGACACUGGAUCCAUCAGACCAUUAUCAAAUAUACAAAACCACUAUGUGCAAGAGAGCAGUACACACAGUGAACUACAAGAGAUGCACUGAAUAAAUCCAUCCAUGA
This 535-nucleotide long non-coding RNA is filed under the name Gallus gallus (chicken). RNAcentral's name for it is "long non-coding RNA NONGGAT003652". Lineage: Eukaryota; Metazoa; Chordata; Aves; Galliformes; Phasianidae. The record is from RNAcentral.